This 1070-nucleotide ribosomal RNA is filed under the name Bacillus sp. MK10. RNAcentral's name for it is "bacterial SSU rRNA". It matches the Rfam family "Bacterial small subunit ribosomal RNA", at positions 49 to 1103 of the family's 1533-position model. Lineage: Bacteria; Bacillati; Bacillota; Bacilli; Caryophanales; Bacillaceae. The record is from RNAcentral.
CUAUACUGCAGUCGAGCGGACAGAUGGGAGCUUGCUCCCUGAUGUUAGCGGCGGACGGGUGAGUAACACGUGGGUAACCUGCCUGUAAGACUGGGAUAACUCCGGGAAACCGGGGCUAAUACCGGAUGGUUGUUUGAACCGCAUGGUUCAGACAUAAAAGGUGGCUUCGGCUACCACUUACAGAUGGACCCGCGGCGCAUUAGCUAGUUGGUGAGGUAACGGCUCACCAAGGCGACGAUGCGUAGCCGACCUGAGAGGGUGAUCGGCCACACUGGGACUGAGACACGGCCCAGACUCCUACGGGAGGCAGCAGUAGGGAAUCUUCCGCAAUGGACGAAAGUCUGACGGAGCAACGCCGCGUGAGUGAUGAAGGUUUUCGGAUCGUAAAGCUCUGUUGUUAGGGAAGAACAAGUGCCGUUCAAAUAGGGCGGCACCUUGACGGUACCUAACCAGAAAGCCACGGCUAACUACGUGCCAGCAGCCGCGGUAAUACGUAGGUGGCAAGCGUUGUCCGGAAUUAUUGGGCGUAAAGGGCUCGCAGGCGGUUUCUUAAGUCUGAUGUGAAAGCCCCCGGCUCAACCGGGGAGGGUCAUUGGAAACUGGGGAACUUGAGUGCAGAAGAGGAGAGUGGAAUUCCACGUGUAGCGGUGAAAUGCGUAGAGAUGUGGAGGAACACCAGUGGCGAAGGCGACUCUCUGGUCUGUAACUGACGCUGAGGAGCGAAAGCGUGGGGAGCGAACAGGAUUAGAUACCCUGGUAGUCCACGCCGUAAACGAUGAGUGCUAAGUGUUAGGGGGUUUCCGCCCCUUAGUGCUGCAGCUAACGCAUUAAGCACUCCGCCUGGGGAGUACGGUCGCAAGACUGAAACUCAAAGGAAUUGACGGGGGCCCGCACAAGCGGUGGAGCAUGUGGUUUAAUUUCGAAGCAACGCGAAGAACCUUACCAGGUCUUGACAUCCUCUGACAUCCUAGAGAUAGGACGUCCCCUUCGGGGCAGAGUGACAGGUUGUUGCAUGGGUGUCGUCAGCUCGUGUCGUGAGAUGUUGGGUUAGUCCCGCAACGAGCGCACCC